AGUGGCGGACGGGUGAGUAACGCGUGGGUAACCUGCCUCAUACAGGGGGAUAACAGUUAGAAAUGACUGCUAAUACCGCAUAAGACCACAGCACCGCAUGGUGCAGGGGUAAAAACUCCGGUGGUAUGAGAUGGACCCGCGUCUGACUAGGUAGUUGGUGGGGUAACGGCCUACCAAGCCGACGAUCAGUAGCCGACCUGAGAGGGUGACCGGCCACAUUGGGACUGAGACACGGCCCAA
This 240-nucleotide ribosomal RNA is filed under the name uncultured bacterium. RNAcentral's name for it is "partial 16S ribosomal RNA". It matches the Rfam family "Bacterial small subunit ribosomal RNA", at positions 94 to 334 of the family's 1533-position model. The record is from RNAcentral.